Molecule: ribosomal RNA, 261 nt
Filed under: uncultured bacterium
Lineage: Bacteria
Description: partial 16S ribosomal RNA
Rfam family: Bacterial small subunit ribosomal RNA
Source: RNAcentral
GUCCACGCCGUAAACGAUGAGCACUAGGUGUCGGGGUCGUAAGAUUUCGGUGCCGUAGUUAACGCAUUAAGUGCUCCGCCUGGGGAGUACGCACGCAAGUGUGAAACUCAAAGGAAUUGACGGGGACCCGCACAAGCAGUGGAGUAUGUGGUUUAAUUCGAAGCAACGCGAAGAACCUUACCAGGUCUUGACAUCCGAUGCAUAACACAGAGAUGUGUGAAAUCCUUCGGGACAUCGAGACAGGUGGUGCAUGGUUGUCGU